ACGACUUUUAAACAAUUGUGUAAACUAAGGGAAGGGGGAGAACAUGAGAGUGAGGGAGAGGGAGGGGAAGGAGAAGGGGACAUGUAUUAACCAAUCAGGCAACUCGGAGGAAUAAUCCAGCCAAUAGGAGGCUUGUUAUGCAAUCCCCAGAGCCAAUCACAGAAGGCCGGUUAGCAGGGUUGACUUUUUUUCUGGAUUUACGUCAGAGAGAGAGAGAGAGAGAGAGAGAGAGAGAGAGAGAGAGAGAGAGAGAGAGAGAGUGUGUGUGUGUGUGUGUGUGUGUGUGGCGUAAGAAGGAGUGGUAGAGAGGAAUGUGUCAGUGAGAGUGAGUGAGAGGAUAAGAGGAAGGAUAGAUAAUGAAGGGUUAGAAACGAGAGGGAGAGGCCAGAGUUGAGUGAGGUGGAGUGAGUGUGUUUGAUGGGCUUGCAGGUUUAAUGAGAAUUCUUGCAUUCAUUCAAGGUAACAAUAAUCUGCCCUGAAGUGUUGUUGUUGGUGGUUUUCCAUGGUGCACGAGAGAGAGAGAGAGAGAGAGAGAGAGAGAGAGAGAGAGAGAGAGAGAGAGAGAGAGAGAGAGUGAGAGAGAGAGAGAGAGAGAGAGAGAGAGAGAGCAAUCAUACAACCAAUAUCACACGUAAUGCCAAAGAAAAUACGAUAUUGAUGAAAAAGUCAAUCAAGUCUUAAUGAAAGUUCACGAAAACUUUAAAGAAAAAACUACACAAGUAACUUUCUACUGCCAGACCAUGAAGACGAUAGAGCAAAACUGAGCCACUACCAAAUAGACACCAUGAUAGAAACUAGCUCGUGAUAAUAAUAGAAAGUGAGUAAAAAUAACUGAAUCUGAUGCCAGUUUCCAAGAAAUCACAAAGAAAAGAAAAACAUCAACACGCCUUAGUCCUGACGAGGCCUGCUUGUGAUGAGCUGCACUACUUAAUAUAGAGUAAGAGAUCUAGGGUAGUAAAGGGAGUAGUAUGCCACACUGUUCUGAAAUACAAGAGUUUUCUUAAGGGGCUUUUAUCUCUAUUUUUGUUGUCCUUAGCCAGAACCCUUCUUAGAAAAUUGUAAAUAAAAUAGUUAAAUAAAUAAAUAAAUAAAUAAAUAAAUAAAUAAAUAAAUAAAACCAAUAUGACCAAUAGUAUGCGUUCGUUUACAGGGAUGACCACAAACAACUUUCCUGAUCUUUAACGUUGUUAUUAUCAUCUUUUGUUAGCAUUUACAACAUUGCAGAAAAUGCUGUAUGGGAGACGCACACAUAUACAAGAGGGAAUAAGAAGGCAAUUUUUUCUUUUCUAGGCUACAGAGCUCUUCAAGAGACAGUAAUUACAAAUGUAAGUGUGUCUGGAACGUUGAUUGUUAUUGUAGGAAAACUUGUCAAUCACAGAAAGGACGAAAGAACUAACUUGUGUAGUGCUGGAGACGAGGCUUGUGUUGUACCUGUUCAAGACACAAAGGAACACUGCGGACGUGCACAAUAAUUGAUUGACGUUUAGUGAACACAACAACCUUGCUACACACACACACACACACACACACACACACACACACAACCUCCUACCCAUCUGAGGUCAGCGUCACCACAAGAGGGAGACCAACCAGCGAGGAAAAUGAUGAGCAUGAAGGGGAAGGUUCCCAAGGUUUGGGGAGGGAAAGGACACAAACCCACGCCUUGUUUUGUGUAGCAGUAAUUACAGGCUCCUUCUUUAUGUCCUUCAGAGCUAGGGAAGAGGAGGAGGAGGAGGAGGAGGAGGAGGAGGAGGAGGAGGAGGAGGAGGAGGAGGAGGAGGAGGAGGAGGAGGAGAAGGAGGAGAAGGAAGGACAAAGGGUGGUUGAGGAAGGAGGAAAAUAGGAGGAUGAUCAUUUAAAAAAAAGUACAUAAUAAAAAAAAGAGCUGCUAUGUAGUGAAGUAUCGUGGAGCCAACGGUACCGCUAGUAGGGAAGAAAAGAAGGAGGAAGAGGAAGAGGAGGAGGAGGAGAAGGGGGAUGAGAAGGGAGGAGGAGGAAGGAGGUAGGGACAAGAACAUUAUAAGGUCACCUGGCUCUACGUAUAUUGUCUUUCCUGCCUUGAACGAGAACGAGGAAACUCUGCACCUUUAUCAGCGAUCCAAGGCAGACUCAGGUGAUUCUGGCAUUUACUCAUUCUAGCUUCGUACGUCUGGUUCUUGCUGCAGCAACCUAAUUUUUUUGUUAAUUUUACUAGUUUUAUUUGCCUCUCGAGACAGUUUGAAGUCCUUUCUUUAGUUUCCCAAUCAAACAUCCCAUCUGGAGAGUUUUAUGAUUCAACGGGCAUAAAACGAACCAUCAGAAGUUUAAACACGUCGAGGUGACACACUGAACAGCCGGACAUAACUCAGUGACCUCCGUUCCAGGAAGACACGCGAGCGAGGAUUUGAAGGUCAGGCAGAGAGGGAAGGUUGAGGAAGGGACAUGCUUGAGGAAUACCACGCGUAAAGGAGACGGACGGGAGAUGUUUGGAAAUACACGGAGACAUGAUGAAAGAAGAAAAGUCGACGUGGUCAAGGUGGGCCGAUUGCAGAGAGAUGAGGGGGAGGUCACUCAGCUCCUGGCAACCUGGUGUCCUUGAUCAUUCCUCUCAGUUUUGGGUUGGCGGGAUUUUUUUUUCUUUUUUUUUUUUGUGCCUCUGCUGGCUAAAUAUAUUAAGACUCCAAGGAGGCUCAUGAUACUGAGAAUAAAGGGGAAGUGACAUAACGGUGCUCUCAUUAUCACUAUUAUCUGGGCAUCUUUUCGCUUCAGAGAGAGAGAGAGAGAGAGAGAGAGAGAGAGAGAGAGAGAGAGAGAGAGAGAGAGAGAGAGAGAGAGAGAGAGAGAGAGAGAGAGAGAGUGAGGGUGGGGAGGGGUAGGAACAAAAUUUUGGCUCAGACAAUUGAAGAGAGGCAGCGAAAGCUUCACCUAUUGCAUGUAAGGUUAAGUUAAGAUACCACCACCCUUCUACUUCAUAGAUUUCUUUUUCUUACUUUCUUUUAUUGCAGGAAGUAACAAUUAUCUCUAUCCUCGUGCACUUGUGUCUGGUGUAAUGAUGUAUUGGUCUCAUUGGUGGAAUCAUCGCCUUUUCUAGCCAACAGCUUUUUACUUUAGAUACAACAGUAAUGUGGCUUACCAUAGAUAGCCUGGAAAGUGCUGAUAAUACCAGUAUAUUUUCUUCCUUUAUGCUCUUUUGACUUGUUUGACUUAUAUUGAAUCUUUUUGAUCGUCUCUUUGGUCUGUGCAGUCUCUGGUCAGUUAGUCUGUUUCUGUCUAAAUGGUCGUGUUACUGUUAGGACCGUUUUUUAAACGUCAUAGAGAUGUUUGGUCAGGUUCUCGCAGUUCCCCUAACAGAGAACAUAAGAACAUGGGAACAUAAGAAAAUAAGGGAACCUGCAAGAAGCCACCAGGCCUACACGUGGCAGUCCCUGUAUGAAAGAGGAGAUACUAUUAUAAUUCUUGUAAGACUACCCCGCCAAAACAUUCCUGAAAACCUCGAUGAAAUCCACUGCAGAAAAUUAAAAGCAUUCGAGGCACGGCAGCACUGAAACCCCCAAAAAUGUGGUGCACUAUAAUAAAGACGUGAUUGGUUGGCUGAGCUUUCUGUUGUGGUCUGGUGUGAUUGGUGGAGGUGGUGGUGAUGGUUGUGAUGGUCUUCUUGGAAUAGCCCACGAAGAAAUAUCUCAGCGUUUGGCUUUUUCUUUUUUAUUUGGAGGGAAGGAUGCGGGUCUUUCUCUCUCGCGUCGAUGAGUUACAGAAGUUGGCGUCUACCUGGAGUGAGAGAAAGUGUCAGAGUCGGCAGCAAGGGGAAAGUUUUCCUCAUCAUAUUCUCUCUCUCUCUCUCUCUCUCUCUCUCUCUCUCUCUCUCUCUCUCUCUCUCUCUCUCUCUCUCUCUCUCUCUCUCAUCCAAUCUAUUUAUAGUUCCUUCUUUUACCUACUUUCUUUCCUAUUAUCACCAUCAUAUUUUUUUUUUAAAUUUUCUAACCAAGCUCCUUUUCUUUUUCUUUUUUUCUUCUUCUUUUCCUCCUCUUCUUCCUUCUCCUUCUCUUCUAUCUCCUCCUCCUCUUCCUCCUCCUCCUUUUCUACACCAAUUAGCUGUAAGAAGGACUCGCCAUCUUCCUCAUUUGCAUGUAUAUAGUAUAAAAAAAAAAAAAAAACAUGUACAGCCAACCAUCUCCAUCCCCUCUUCCUCCUCCUCGUCUUCAUUCUUCUCCUCCUCCACCAUUAGCACCGACAAGAACAACGCAUAUCUGUAAUUAUUAUGUCACACACACACACACACACACACACACACACACACACACACACACACAGGGUCAGUUAAGGUGUGGUCAUGUAAAUCUUGAACUUUCUUUAAACUUACGUAAGAAACCUAUCGCCAUUUUUAAACAACACAAGCAUACGAGAGAGAGAGAGAGAGAGAGAGAGAGAGAGAGAGAGAGAGAGAGAGAGAGAGAGAGAGAGAGAGAGAGAGAGAGAGAGAGAGAGAGAGAGAGAGAGAGAAAGUAAGUUUACAGUAACGCGUAUGCAUGCACUUAAAGCAAAUUUCCAACAUUCACUUCUCUCUAACAAAAAUAUAAUAACGAUAAUAGUAGCAGCAAUAAGGCU
Molecule: long non-coding RNA, 4584 nt
Organism: Scylla paramamosain (green mud crab)
Lineage: Eukaryota; Metazoa; Arthropoda; Malacostraca; Decapoda; Portunidae
Exons: 2
Source: RefSeq, a predicted model, not a curated record